Molecule: long non-coding RNA, 946 nt
Organism: Xenia sp. Carnegie-2017
Lineage: Eukaryota; Metazoa; Cnidaria; Anthozoa; Malacalcyonacea; Xeniidae
Exons: 2
Source: RefSeq, a predicted model, not a curated record
GAUUUGAAGCUAAAUAGUAUAAUAAUUAGUUAAAUUGUUAUUACAGAAAAUUGGAAAUGAGGACUGUGGGCAACUAGUUUGCUUCAUUGCAUAGUCAGAAGCACCGGCUUGGGGGCGGGGGGCGAGUGCCCCACCUAAUAUUCCCGAUGACUUUGGUCUCAAUAUCUGUAGCUUGAAAAAAUCAGUCAUAUAAAACAGUGCGUAUGUAUGUGUUUUGGGGUGUUUUGCUCCCCCCAAAAUAAAAUCCUAUCGGCGCCAUUGUACAUAAUGUAUGCUUUACUUACGUGCAGUUGGCUGGUGGCCAUCCGAAUUUUCAUUCUUUGUUGAUAUAAUGAGCUUUUUCACCGAAUCGAACGAUGAAGAAUGCAUGAUUUUCGUGUUUGUCUGUCUCAAGAGUUCCACAACGGAAUUUUGUAUUUUCAGCUGAAUUCCAAACUCAUUCAUCAACUGUGAACAAUGCCUCGUUACAUUUUCACACAUGGAUCGACAUGGUUGCAAUACUUCACCAUUAUCACAAACAGGAGCAUAAAGGGAACACAAGAAAAAACGAAAAUAUUGUGAACAACCUGCUUCAAUGAAUGGAGUAAAUUCAUCCAAUGCCGAAGCAACUUCUUUUUGUGUUUUAUGGUUAAAUCUGUUAGGUAGUAAAAUCGAGUCAUAACCCAAUUUCCGGCACGUUGAUAUUGUUAACGCCUCACAAUCCGAAGCUUUAGCCAAGCAUGUUUUAUCACUAAAUGAAGCAAUUAAUGCUAUACUUAUCAUGCAACAUUGUGCUCCGUAGAAUAUUUUGUUAGUAAUGUUCAGCCAUAUUUGUUUCCCCAUCGUCUUUUUUUUAAAAAACAUGCUUUAUUGCUUCUCACAAUAGUUAACGUACCACAAUAAACUGAUGACAGCAACAUUACAUGUAUUUCAAUUGAUUAUCAUAAGAUUACAAGAGUCACUUACA